AAUCCUCCAGAUUACAGUCCGGUAGUUUUGCGAGUGCACUACCCAACUCGUUGUUUUACACCGGGCUAACAACGAACCCUACAACCCCCCAAUUUAACCUAGGCUUGGGAUGCCUAUCCCUUGUUCCAAGUCCCUUGACUGGAACAAGCACAAUAAUCAAUGUUUUACAAAAGAUUUGAAAGCUCUUAAGAAGCAAAUAUAACAAUGAGAAAUAAUGAAACCCGGAAGAACCCUUUUAGCCGUUGGAAGCGUGGGAAAUGGUGGUUCUUCCGAUGUGGAUUGCGUUGGCUUGAAUGUGAGCUUUGAAUGCCGAGUGGGAGAGAGUAGUUGAGCACGAAAUCAGAUGGGAAAGCUUGGAUGCACUUGAUUUCUUCUCUUGAAAGCUCUAACUCCCUUGAACCUCUUUCUCUUUCUUCUCUCUUGAAUGAUCUUGUGU
This 436-nucleotide long non-coding RNA is filed under the name Phoenix dactylifera (date palm). RNAcentral's name for it is "long non-coding RNA (PDAC_LNC010906)". Lineage: Eukaryota; Viridiplantae; Streptophyta; Magnoliopsida; Arecales; Arecaceae. The record is from RNAcentral.